Molecule: ribosomal RNA, 307 nt
Filed under: uncultured bacterium
Lineage: Bacteria
Description: bacterial SSU rRNA
Rfam family: Bacterial small subunit ribosomal RNA
Source: RNAcentral
GACGAACGCUGGCGGCGUGCCUAACACAUGCAAGUCGAACGGAAGUAAGUGCUUCGGUAUUUACUUUAGUGGCGAACGGGUGAGUAACGCGUGAGGAACCUGCCUUUCAGAGUGGAAUAACGUUUGGAAACGAACGCUAAUACCGCAUAACGUGAGAAGAGGGCAUCCUCUUUUUACCAAAGAUUUAUCGCUGAGAGAUGGGCUCGCGGCCGAUUAGGUAGUUGGUGAGAUAACAGCCCACCAAGCCGACGAUCGGUAGCCGGACUGAGAGGUUGAUCGGCCACAUUGGGACUGAGACACGGCCCAG